Molecule: transfer RNA, 73 nt
Filed under: Capra hircus (goat)
Lineage: Eukaryota; Metazoa; Chordata; Mammalia; Artiodactyla; Bovidae
Also listed under: 1 other name
Rfam family: tRNA
About the family: Transfer RNA (tRNA) molecules are approximately 80 nucleotides in length. Their secondary structure includes four short double-helical elements and three loops (D, anti-codon, and T loops).
Source: Rfam by way of RNAcentral
UCCCUGGUAGUCCAGUGGCUAAGACUCUGUGCUUCCAAUGCAGGGUGCCUGGAUUCAAUCCCUGAUCAGGGAA